This 463-nucleotide ribosomal RNA is filed under the name uncultured bacterium. RNAcentral describes it as "partial 16S ribosomal RNA". It matches the Rfam family "Bacterial small subunit ribosomal RNA", at positions 28 to 507 of the family's 1533-position model. The record is from RNAcentral.
GAUGAACGCUGGCAGAAUGCUUAACACAUGCAAGUCUUUGGCGAAGCUGUGCUUGCGCAGCCUAGCCAAGGCGGACGGGUGAGUAACGCGUAAGGAACUUGCCCUGCAGUCAGGUAUAACAGACGGAAACGACUGAUAAGACCUGGUAAAGUCAUACGGACUCAUGUCCAGCCUGAUGAAAAGUGAUGCUGCAGGAGAGCCUUGCGUCCUAUUAGCUUGUGGGUGGGGUAACGGCCCACCAAGGGGAUGAGAGGUAGCCGGCCUGAGAGGGUGGACGGCCACAAGGGGACUGAGAGACGGCAGUUACGCAUACGGGAGGAAGCAGUGGAGAAUAUUGGAGAAUGGGGGCAAGCGUGAUCAAGCAAUUCGGUGUGUACGAUGAAGGUUUUAGGAUUGUAAAGGGAUGUCAGUAGGUAAGAAAAAAAUGACGGUACCUGAACAAGAAGCGACGGCUAAAUACGUG